UACGGAAGGCAGCAGUGGGGAAUAUUGCACAAUGGGCGCAAGCCUGAUGCAGCCAUGCCGCGUGUAUGAAAAAGGCCUUCGGGUUGUAAAGUACUUUCAGUCGUGAGGAAGGUGUUAAGGUUAAUAACCUUAGCAAUUGACGUUAGCGACAGAAGAAGCACCGGCUAACUCCGUGCCAGCAGCCGCGGUAAUACGGAGGGUGCGAGCGUUAAUCGGAAUUACUGGGCGUAAAGGGCACGCAGGCGGUUAAUUAAGUUGGAUGUGAAUCCCCGGGCUUAACCUGGGAAUGGCAUUCAAGACUGGUUAGCUAGAGUCUUGUAGAGGGGGUAGAAUUCCAUGUGUAGCGGUGAAAUGCGUAGAGAUGUGGAGGAAUACCGGUGGCGAAGGCGGCCCCUGGACAAAGACUGACGCUCAUGUGCGAAAGCGUGGGGAGCGAAACAGGGAUUAGA
Molecule: ribosomal RNA, 449 nt
Filed under: uncultured bacterium
Lineage: Bacteria
Description: bacterial SSU rRNA
Rfam family: Bacterial small subunit ribosomal RNA
Source: RNAcentral